GGAGAUUUCUCAACAAAGAAAAAUAAAACUAUCAUUUCAAAGGCCCAAAGCGGGUGUUGAUACUAUGUGAUUUCUGUCCAGUUCUCUGAAUGUCAAAGUGAAGAAAUUCAAUGAACAUGAGUAAAUGGUGGGAAUAACUAUGACCCUCUUAAGGUAGCCAAAUGCUAGUCACCUAAUUAAUGACAUGCAUGAGGGGAUAAAGGAAAUUCCC
RNAcentral lists this non-coding RNA (211 nucleotides) under Myotis brandtii (Brandt's bat). RNAcentral's name for it is "Eukaryotic large subunit ribosomal RNA". It matches the Rfam family "Eukaryotic large subunit ribosomal RNA", at positions 2128 to 2337 of the family's 3401-position model. The record is from Rfam by way of RNAcentral. Lineage: Eukaryota; Metazoa; Chordata; Mammalia; Chiroptera; Vespertilionidae.